This 306-nucleotide unclassified non-coding RNA is filed under the name plant metagenome. RNAcentral describes it as "partial contains 5.8S ribosomal RNA, internal transcribed spacer 2, and large subunit ribosomal RNA". The stretch from base 1 to 105 matches the Rfam family "5.8S ribosomal RNA", at positions 50 to 154 of the family's 154-position model. The record is from RNAcentral.
GAAAUGCGAUAAGUAAUGUGAAUUGCAGAAUUCAGUGAGUCAUCGAAUCUUUGAACGCACAUUGCGCCCGCCAGUAUUCUGGCGGGCAUGCCUGUCCGAGCGUCAUUUCAACCAUCAAGCCCCCGGGCUUGUGUUGGGGACCUGCGGCUGCCCGCAGGCCCUGAAAACCAGUGGCGGGCUCGCUGUCACACCGAGCGUAGUAGCAAUCACCUCGCUCAGGGCGUGCUGCGGGUUCCGGCCGUUAAACAGCCUUACAAAACCCAAGGUUGACCUCGGAUCAGGUAGGAAGACCCGCUGAACUUAAGC